GUGAGGAAUAUUGGUCAAUGGACGGAAGUCUGAACCAGCCAUGCCGCGUGCAGGAAUAAGGUCCUAUGGAUUGUAAACUGCUUUUAUUCGGGAAUAAACCUCUUUACGUGUAGGGAGCUGAAGGUACCGAAGGAAUAAGCACCGGCUAACUCCGUGCCAGCAGCCGCGGUAAUACGGAGGGUGCAAGCGUUAUCCGGAAUCAUUGGGUUUAAAGGGUCCGCAGGCGGGCUAUCAAGUCAGAGGUGAAAUCCCACAGCUUAACUGUGGAACUGCCUUUGAAACUGAUGGUCUUGAAUUAAGUGGGCGUUGGCGGAAUAUGACAUGUAGCGGUGAAAUGCAUAGAUAUGUCAUGGAACACCGAAAGCGAAGGCAGCUAACGAUACUUAUAUUGACGCUCAUGGACGAAAGCGUGGGUAGCGAACAGGAUUAGAUACCCGGGUAUCC
RNAcentral lists this ribosomal RNA (444 nucleotides) under uncultured bacterium. RNAcentral describes it as "partial 16S ribosomal RNA". It matches the Rfam family "Bacterial small subunit ribosomal RNA", at positions 354 to 795 of the family's 1533-position model. The record is from RNAcentral.